RNAcentral lists this ribosomal RNA (444 nucleotides) under uncultured bacterium. RNAcentral describes it as "bacterial SSU rRNA". It matches the Rfam family "Bacterial small subunit ribosomal RNA", at positions 331 to 792 of the family's 1533-position model. The record is from RNAcentral.
CCAGACUCCUACGGGAGGCAGCAGUGGGGAAUAUUGCACAAUGGGGGAAACCCUGAUGCAGCGACGCCGCGUGAGUGAAGAAGUAUUUCGGUAUGUAAAGCUCUAUCAGCAGGGAAGAAAAUGACGGUACCUGAUUAAGAAGCCCCGGCUGACUACGUGCCAGCAGCCGCGGUAAUACGUAGGGGGCAAGCGUUAUCCGGAUUUACUGGGUGUAAAGGGAGCGUGGACGGCAGCGCAAGUCUGAAGUGAAAUGCCGGGGCUUAACCCCGGAACUGCUUUGGAAACUGUGCAGCUAGAGUGCAGGAGAGGUAAGCGGAAUUCCCGGUGUAGCGGUGAAAUGCGUAGAGAUCGGGAGGAACACCAGUGGCGAAGGCGGCCUACUGGGCUUUAACUGACGCUGAGGCACGAAAGCGUGGGUAGCAAACAGGAUUAGAUACCCCCGUA